RNAcentral lists this ribosomal RNA (468 nucleotides) under uncultured bacterium. RNAcentral's name for it is "partial 16S ribosomal RNA". It matches the Rfam family "Bacterial small subunit ribosomal RNA", at positions 28 to 507 of the family's 1533-position model. The record is from RNAcentral.
GACGAACGCUGGCGGCGUGCUUAACACAUGCAAGUCGAACGCAGAGGCUUUGUUCUUGCAGUGUGCUUGUGUGGGGAAAACGGGUGUAUAAUGUGUGUAUAAUCCCCCCGUCACUCGGAUAUCAUCCUGAGAAUCUGGCUCUUACAGGGUAUGCGCCACUGCUCUGCGGUGGGGGUUGGAGAGAUUCGGUGGUUGGGGAUGGACUCGCGGCUUAUCAGCUUGUUGGUGGGGUAGUGGCUUACCAAGGCAUUGACGGGUAGCCGGCCUGAGAGGGUGACCGGCCACACUGGGACUGAGAUACGGCCCAGACUCCUACGGGAGGCAGCAGUGGGGAAUAUUGCACAAUGGGCGGAAGCCUGAUGCAGCAACGCCGCGUGCGGGAUGACGGCCUUCGGGUUGUAAACCGCUUUCACCUCGGACGAAGCGAGAGUGACGGUAAGUGGUGAAGAAGCACCGGCUAACUACGUG